Molecule: unclassified non-coding RNA, 23 nt
Filed under: unidentified
Description: RNA (5'-R(P*AP*AP*AP*CP*AP*CP*CP*AP*UP*UP*UP*CP*CP*AP*CP*AP*CP*UP*CP*CP*AP*AP*A)... from unidentified (PDB 6MDZ, chain E)
Source: RNAcentral
AAACACCAUUUCCACACUCCAAA